UCUGUUGUAGUUUAGUUGGUUAGGAUACUCGACUCUCAUUCGAGAGACUCGAGUUCAAGUCUCGGCAACGGAA
Cucurbita maxima (winter squash) is the source of this 73-nucleotide non-coding RNA. NCBI's taxonomy places the organism in Eukaryota, Viridiplantae, Streptophyta, Magnoliopsida, Cucurbitales, Cucurbitaceae. The record is from the annotation of a RefSeq genome assembly.